RNAcentral lists this ribosomal RNA (460 nucleotides) under uncultured bacterium. RNAcentral describes it as "partial 16S ribosomal RNA". It matches the Rfam family "Bacterial small subunit ribosomal RNA", at positions 338 to 795 of the family's 1533-position model. The record is from RNAcentral.
CCUACGGGAGGCAGCAGUGAGGAAUAUUGGUCAAUGGACGCAAGUCUGAACCAGCCAUGCCGCGUGCAGGAAGACGGUUCUAUGAGUUGUAAACUGCUUUUGUACGAGGGUAAACGCAGAUACGCGUAUCUGUCUGAAAGUAUCGUACGAAUAAGGAUCGGCUAACUCCGUGCCAGCAGCCGCGGUAAUACGGAGGAUUCAAGCGUUAUCCGGAUUUAUUGGGUUUAAAGGGUGCGUAGGCGGUCGGAUAAGUUAGCGGUGAAAUCCCGAGGCUCAACUUCGGAAUUGCCUCUGAUACUGUUAGGCUAGAGAGUAGUUGCGGUAGGCGGAAUGUAUGGUGUAGCGGUGAAAUGCUUAGAGAUCAUACAGAACACCGAUUGCGAAGGCAGCUUACCAGGCUACUACUGACGUUGAGGCACGAAAGCGUGGGGAGCAAACAGGAUUAGAUACCCCAGUAGUC